GUGGAGGAGAGGGGGGGUUAACACUGACACAGAGGUGGGGGAGAGGGGGGUUAACACUGACACAGAGGUGGGGGAGAGGGGGGGGUUAACACUGACACAGAGGUGGGGGAGAGGGGGGGUUAACACUGACACAGAGGUGGGGGAGAGGGGGGGUUAACACUGACACAGAGGUGGGGGAGAGGGGGGUUAACACUGACACAGAGGUGGGGGAGAGGGGGGGUUAACACUGACACAGAGGUGGAGGAGAGGGGGGGUUAACACUGACACAGAGGUGGGGGAGAGGGGGGGUUAA
Long non-coding RNA from Salvelinus fontinalis (brook trout), 292 nucleotides. RefSeq lists it as uncharacterized. NCBI's taxonomy places the organism in Eukaryota, Metazoa, Chordata, Actinopteri, Salmoniformes, Salmonidae. The transcript has 4 exons. The record is from RefSeq and is a predicted model, not a curated record.